AGCAGCCGCGGUAAUUCCAGCUCCAAUAGCGUAUAUUAAAGUUGUUGCGGUUAAAAAGCUCGUAGUUGAAUCUGUGUCGCACACCGUCGGUUCACCGCUCGCGGUGUCUAACUGGCGUGAUGUGGGACGUCCUACCGGUGGGCUUAGCUCCGCGAGGGGCGGCCCAACUAAUAUCCCGUCGCGGUGCUCUUUACUGAGUGUCGAGUCGGGCCGGUACGUUUACUUUGAACAAAUUAGAGUGCUUAAAGCAGGCUACCUUCGCCUGAAUACUGUGUGCA
This 278-nucleotide ribosomal RNA is filed under the name Glomeromycota sp. RNAcentral's name for it is "partial small subunit ribosomal RNA". It matches the Rfam family "Eukaryotic small subunit ribosomal RNA", at positions 569 to 809 of the family's 1831-position model. The record is from RNAcentral. Lineage: Eukaryota; Fungi; Glomeromycota.